AGAUUAAUUCAAGAGCAACGAUUGAUAGAUAAAGAUUAAAUUCUCCACAAAUUCACCUUCAAAUCAAAAGCAUUAGUUCAUGAGUUUCUGAAUAUCCACUUUUUGUUAACUUUCAUUGUGCUUGAAGGUCCAUGUCUUCAUAUGGUUAUCUGUGAACUAAAUGCUAACCAUGAAAUUAUGAUUCCACGCUGUGGAGACUAUGUCACACCUCAACCAACCUAUCAAGCCCCUGCCCCCUAAAAAAUUCUUCUUUAUCCAUACCACUAUUAUGCACAUUUUACACAAACAUAAUUUGUUACUCAUAGAACAAUAAAAAAUUACUUCCAAGUUGAGGUUUCCCUACUAAUUAACUGAUCAAAAGAGAAGCAGCAACUAUCACAUUUAUGCUACCAAGUAUAGUCUUCUAGUUCCUGAAAUUUAUCAUAUAUUGCUAUUAGUUAUAUCAUUGAACCUACUAAUUAACUGAUCAAAAGAGAAGCAGCAACUAUCACAUUUAUGCUACCAAGUAUAGUCUUCUAGUUCCUGGCAUUUAUCAUAUAUUGCUAUUAGUUAUAUCGUUGAAUUAUAUACUAUUACAGCACCCUUUGCAUUAACAAAAUAUUAAAUAUUUUUCAACACAAAUUCAAUUUAUAUUAAUGAAUAAUUCUUUCUUGCAGAGUCAAAAUUUCUUGACAAACUUGAAGACAGUUUUAUGGUUGCAGUCCUUCUCAAAGUAACUAGCUGGGAAAAAAAGCCUUACUGUUAACAGAAAAACAUGAAGUUAACAAGGAUUUU
This 774-nucleotide long non-coding RNA is filed under the name Elaeis guineensis (African oil palm). Its description in RNAcentral is "long non-coding RNA (EGUI_LNC000191)". The record is from RNAcentral. Lineage: Eukaryota; Viridiplantae; Streptophyta; Magnoliopsida; Arecales; Arecaceae.